GACGAACGCUGGCGGCGUGCUUAACACAUGCAAGUCGAACGGAAAGGCCCUGCUUUUGUGGGGUGCUCGAGUGGCGAACGGGGGAGUAACACGUGAGUAACCUGCCCUUGACUUUGGGAUAACUUCAGGAAACUGGGGCUAAUACCGGAUAGGAGCUCCUGCUGCAUGGUGGGGGUUGGAAAGUUUCGGCGGUUGGGGAUGGACUCGCGGCUUAUCAGCUGGUUGGUGGGGUAGUGGCUUACCAAGCCUUUGACGGGUAGCCGGCAUGGGAGGGUGACCGGCCACAAUGCGCCUGAGGGACGGCCCAGUCGGCAACGUGAGGCAGCAGGCGGGAAUAUUACACAGCGGGCGGGAGCCUGAUACGGCAGCGCCGGGUGCGGGAAGACGGCCUUCGGGUUGUGAACCGCUUUCGCCUGUGACGAAGCGGGAGUGACGGUAACGGAUAAAGAAGCACCGGCUAACUACGUG
This 468-nucleotide ribosomal RNA is filed under the name uncultured bacterium. Its description in RNAcentral is "partial 16S ribosomal RNA". It matches the Rfam family "Bacterial small subunit ribosomal RNA", at positions 28 to 507 of the family's 1533-position model. The record is from RNAcentral.